RNAcentral lists this ribosomal RNA (477 nucleotides) under uncultured bacterium. RNAcentral's name for it is "partial 16S ribosomal RNA". It matches the Rfam family "Bacterial small subunit ribosomal RNA", at positions 28 to 507 of the family's 1533-position model. The record is from RNAcentral.
GAUGAACGCUGGCGGCGUGCCUAAUACAUGCAAGUCGAGCGAACAGACGCGGAGCUUGCUCCUCUGACGUUAGCGGCGGACGGGUGAGUCACGUGUGGAUAACCUACCUAUCAGACUGGGAUAACUUCGGGAAACCGGCGCUAAUACCGGAUAAUAUAUUGCACCGCAUGGUUCAUUAGUGAAAGACGGUUUUGCUGUCGGUUGGGGAUGGCUCGGCGCCGCAUUAGCUAGUUGGUGGGGUAGAGGCUUAUCAAGGCUAUGAUGGGUAGCCGGCUUGAGAGGGGGACCGGCCACGGUGGGACGGAGAGAAGGCCCAGACUGCGACGGGAGGCAGCAGUGGGGAAUAUUGAACAAUGGGCGGAAGCCUGAUGCAGAAACGCCGCGUGCGGGAUGACGGCCUUCGGGUUGUAAACCGCUUUCGACUGUGACGAAGCGUGAGUGACGGUAAUGGGUAAAGAAGCACCGGCUAACUACGUG